RNAcentral lists this ribosomal RNA (497 nucleotides) under uncultured bacterium. RNAcentral describes it as "partial 16S ribosomal RNA". It matches the Rfam family "Bacterial small subunit ribosomal RNA", at positions 28 to 507 of the family's 1533-position model. The record is from RNAcentral.
GAUGAACGCUGGCGGCGUGCCUAAUACAUGCCAGUCGAGCGAACAGAUAAGGAGCUUGCUCCUUUGACGUUAGCGGCGGACGGGUGAGUAACACGUGGAUAACCUACCUAUAAGACUGGGAUAACUUCGGGAAACCGGAGCUAAUACCGGAUAACAUAUUGAACCGCAAGGUUCAAUAGUGAAAGGCGGCUUUGCUGUCACUUAUAGAUGGAUCCGCGCCGUAUUAGCUAGUUGGUAAGGUAACGGCUUACCAAGGCAACGAUACGUAGCCGGCCUGAGAGGGUGAUCGGCCACACUGGAACUGAGACACGGUCCAGACUCCUACGGGAGGCAGCAGUAGGGAAUCUUCCGCAAUGGGCGAAAGCCUGACGGAGCAACGCCGCGUGAGUGAUGAAGGUCUUCGGAUCGUAAAACUCUGUUAUCAGGGAAGAACAAAUGUGUAAGUAACUGUGCACAUCUUGACGGUACCUGAUCAGAAAGCCACGGCUAACUACGUG